AACGAACGCUGGCGGCAUGCCUAACACAUGCAAGUCGAACGGGAUCCUAGCUUGCUAGGUGAGAGUGGCGGACGGGUGAGUAACACGUGGGAAUCUGCCUUUUGGUUCGGGAUAACCGCGGGAAACUGCGGCUAAUACCGAAUGCCCUCGAGAGAGGAAAGAUUUAUCGCCAGAAGAGGAGCCCGCGUCCGAUUAGGUAGUUGGUGGGGUAAAGGCCUACCAAGCCGACGAUCGGUAGCUGGUCUGAGAGGAUGAUCAGCCACACUGGGACUGAGAUACGGCCCAGACUCCUACGGGAGGCAGCAGUGGGGAAUAUUGGACAAUGGGGGCAACCCUGAUCCAGCAAUGCCGCGUGAGUGAUGAAGGCCUUAGGGUUGUAAAGCUCUUUUGCCCAGGGAAGAUGAUGACUGUACCUGGAGAAUAAGCCCCGGCUAACUUCGUGCCAGCAGCCGCGGUAAU
RNAcentral lists this ribosomal RNA (459 nucleotides) under uncultured bacterium. Its description in RNAcentral is "bacterial SSU rRNA". It matches the Rfam family "Bacterial small subunit ribosomal RNA", at positions 29 to 524 of the family's 1533-position model. The record is from RNAcentral.